GAAAAUUUGUUUCAAAAUGGCCGAUUGAGCUGCACGGAGACGGUGUAAACAAGACAAGUCCAACGCUAGCGCUCACUAAAUAACUCAUUUCUAGAUCUACAACAGGUUAACGAAGUUCAGGUGAACUGUUAAUGCCAUGGUAGGCUUAAAGAUUUGUUUUUAAGUUGGCGAUUGUGGUAAAAACGUAUCCAAGUAGGAGUGUGACUGAGGCGCAUAGCAUUAGCAGCCCUGCUAGAUUUCAAGCAGCCAUGAGCCAAGAUCAUGGCCCAGGCCCACGAGGUUCAUAAACAUGCACAUGUGAAGAAUAGACUGCAGGUACAUUAGUAUAGAUCUCUGAGUUCUAUCUGAGUAGCUGAGUCGACCUGCUGCCAUGUUUAAGAGUGAAUUUCAGGGUGGGGCAUAUGUAGAGGUCUUCAGUUGUCAAGGCAAGGAACCAUUAGCCAAAUGGAAACUGACUGGUGCAGCGUCCAUACACAAGGUCUACGAAAAAGAAGCCAAGAGUUUUGUGCAUGUUUUGGAGGGUGCGGGGACCAGCACUAAGAUACAGCUGCCUAAGGAUGUCAAGCAGACUUUGGCCUUGGUCCAGCGAUUUCUGGUGCUCCAAGUCUUCGUUCCCCUUGGCCAGGAUUUCUCCAUUGAACUUGGUGUGAGCGACAUGGGCAACAACAAGCGACGGUUGUUGUUCUCAACGGCUCAGAAGGAAAUCGCAGCCACACCACUGCAUGCCAAGAUCCCACUGACUGUCGUGAGGAGAGCCAUGUGGCUGAACCUAUGCAUUGACCUGGUCUCCAUGGUCAGUGAGGCGUUUCGAUUGCAGACCUACAAGUCCUUAGACAGCCUCAUCGUCUGCGCCAGCUGCCACCUGCGUAAGGUAUUCACCAUGAAGACCCAGCCACCGGACGAUACGGAUGAUGAUGAUCAGUACGACUGCAACCCACCCACCAACAACAUGGAGCUAGACAGCAUCCCCAGAUCUUGCCAGUUCAGCGCCGACGUGUCGUGUCAGACGCAGGUCCUCAACAUGAACAAACUCAGGCACGCCGAGUUCAAGCUCAAACCAGACAGCAGGCCUGGCUCCUCAACGGAACCAUUGGAUCUGAACUCCAGCAUGAAGGGACGUAGGAACCGGCCUACGCACAUAGCCUUUGGCAGCAAAGUGCCUGUGCCUGCCAUAGGGGCCGGCAAGAAACCAGCGUCGGCUGGCAGUCAGAGAGAGGGCAGUGAGAGUGCCAGCAGUAGAAGCAGUCGGUCCUCCCAUUCCAGAGCACUGAAACAAGAAGGAGAUCCACUAGUGAGCGACAGGAGCGUAUCCGCUAAGAAGGAAGUGGAUAGGUUAACUGUGCACUCGGGCAGCCGUCAGCGACAAGCCUCCGACCCAGGCACUGAGGUAGCUGAUUUAGAAUCAAGGGUGGACAAAGGGACACUCAAAGGCAGCAACACUUGGUCCGCCGGCUUGGAGGCCAGCAAAGAAGACAACUUUGUCCAGCCCCAUCCGCCCCGCCAGAAAUCCGGCGACAAGUCGCGCCGCGUGGUCAAGGUGCGACCAAACAGCGGCAAGCGGGAGCGAGGGGACAGCAUGUCGGCCGGCAGCGACACCAGCACGUCGGGUCGCAGCGGCCACUACGACAGAAGCCGUUACGCGGAUAAUGGUGGCAGCGGCGCGCAGAGGAGAGACUCCGAAGAGUCCAGCGACGCGGACCGACCGAGCCGGGUGUCAGAUGCGGCUAUCUUGAAGUACGCGUCUUCUCGGAUUAAGGCAGGCGCUGAUGUAAAUGUAAACGGGGACGAGAGCAAAGGCUCAGAGAAGCCCAUGAAUAAAAACGGCAACCACCAAGGGGUGCGACCAACCGUGGACAGCCUCUCAGAAAGCGACGAGCUGGCCGGCAGGAGUAACCAGAAAGGGCGGACCCAGCGUCGCAAAAAGAAGGCGGAUCGUCCCCCGCCGCUGAGCCGCAUGGACAGCCUGUCGGAGAGCGAGGAAGGCCAGAGGCAGCGUGGGAAGGGGCGGAGUCACGGCGACAGAGGGGAAGGAGGAGGGGGCGUGGCUAGGAGUGGGAGGCCAGAAAAGAGGGAGGGUGGAGGAUCAUCUCGGAUGGAACAGUUGUCAGAUAUUUCAACCACCACGGAUUCUGGAGUCACAGACUUGCAUUCAGCGGCAACGUCAAGAGGUGCAGAGGAGUCCAGGGACCAGACCAGACCCAAACCGCCUAAUACAUCAAGACACGGCAACAAGCAGUCAAGGGCAGAGGGGAAUAAGUCCUCCAACGAUCCCCUGGCCAAAGGCAAUGGGAAGAUCUAUACCUUCACCUCCCCACCCAGAUCAGCCCCGCUCAGACCCAUCGAGAGAAGCAGACAUCUGGAGCCCAAGAAACUACAGUUACAAAAGAUCUCGGAGGGCCCACCCCGGAUUUCACCUACGCCCCCACCAGCGGACGAUGACCGCCCCUCCCCCCGCAACUCAUCACCAUCGGACCGUCUCAACGGAGAAGGCGGCAGGACUCGGUAUAAUGCCAUCUUCAGGAGAACGCCCAGCCCCAGACAGAUACGCUCGCUUCAGCUGAGCUCAUCAGGAGAAUUCUCAGAUCACAAGCGUAAUGACGUGGACUCCCCAAAGCCCACGGCAAGCAUGUCCCCGCAACAGACCAGGAAGUCACUACUCACGGCCAGCGCCCUGCAGUCUCACUCGCGGGCAUCGGCCGCCUCGCCGGCCCGGGGUUCCUUGUCCAGACUCAGCAUCCACUCCAAGAAACUCCGAGAGAUUCCCAAGGAUGAUCCAAGAUUGUCUGAUGACUAUGACUGGAUGAAGUACCAAUCCAACAACUCCUCCUUAGCCUCCUCCCUGGAGGCCAACAUGCUGGCUAGUCUCCGUCGUCAGCAGCUGGAGGAGAUGUACGAGGAAGACCCUAACGAUGAGCGGCAGCAAGCCAAUAACAGCUUCGACAUCCAUAACUAUGGCGACGAUGACCUGAGCAGCUCCAGCGACGACACGGCUACCACUUACAGCACCUUCAAGCCGCCGGAUGCCCUACAGAAGGCUCACCGCUACCAAGAUGAGAUGCAUUUCCCAUCCAAUACGAACCCACUCACGCAGUCCAACCCAAGGGACUGGUCCAAUCUGUUCAGCCCGCCCAUCGUACUGCCCAGUGAGAAGAUCAAAGCAGAUCAUGAGGCAGCGAUACUAUCGCCAGGCAAAGACAUGCCCACAGCUUUCCGAACAGACAAGGCCAGGACCAAGUCCACCAGUAGUGAUGACCCGGGCAGGGCGUUCACAGAGAGCGAAGAGGAUGAAGAGCUGGACUUGCUGUAUGAUCCCUGCUUGAACUGCUACUACGAUCCGAGGACGGGCAAAUAUUACGAGCUCAAAUGAGCAGUGUUGUAGUAGUUUUACUGGUACUCGAGUACAUUUCUGGUACUUAUAUUACAUUCAUGAGAAUGUACUCGUACUCGUAGUCACACACACAAAAAUAGCUGUACUGUUACUCAAACUUGUACUCAUGGCAAAGUUCUCGUACCAUACUCUUGAAAAUAUUUUCCUGUAGGAAUUUUAACAUUUUUCAGAGAAGUAGUUAGGAAUUUUAGGAGUAAGAAAAAAACUUGCUCAAAGCGAAGGUCGGGCUACGCCCAAUACCCUGAGAAAUGGUGAUGUUGGGGGG
This 3653-nucleotide unclassified non-coding RNA is filed under the name Patiria miniata (bat star). Its description in RNAcentral is "protein CFAP20DC-like, transcript variant X1". Lineage: Eukaryota; Metazoa; Echinodermata; Asteroidea; Valvatida; Asterinidae. The record is from RNAcentral.